This is a non-coding RNA of Canis lupus familiaris (dog), 900 nucleotides long. NCBI's taxonomy places the organism in Eukaryota, Metazoa, Chordata, Mammalia, Carnivora, Canidae. The record is from the annotation of a RefSeq genome assembly.
AUGGCCAGACACCAAUGUUUUAAUUGCUCUUCCACAUCCCCCACAGAUAGAAGCCUUGAUGCAGACAAUUCCCCCAAGCCCACCACUUUUUUCCCUUCAAUUGCUGAAACAACACUUCACAAUGCUGGAACGUAUCUUUGUCUUCUCGAGAAUUUUUUCCGUGAUGUUAUCAAGAUAGAUUGGAAAGAGAAGAGUGGCAAAACAAUUCCACAAUCCCAGCAGGGAAACACUAUGAAGACUAAGGACACAUUCAUGAAAUUCAGCUGGCUGACUGUGAUGGGAGCAUCAAUGGAUAAAGGAUACAAAUGUGUCAUCAAACAUGAGAGAAAUAAAGGAAGGGUUGAUCAAGAGAUUCUGUUUUCUUCCCAGAUAAAAGAGCUCACUGCUAUUACCUCAACAAAAUAUUCUCUGAAAGAUAAAAAUGAUCCCCUGCAGCUGCAGCUCAUGAACACCUCUGCCUACUACACCUACCUCCUCCUCCUCCUCAAGAGCCUGGUCUACUCCGUCGUCAUCACCUUCUAUCUGCUUGGGAGACCAGCAUUCUGUGGCAAUGGGAAGAGUUCCUAACACAUGGUGACACCAAAGGUCCCCUUUUCUCCAUUGGCUAUUGUGGCUAAAAGUGUCUGCUGAGGAUCUAGUGUGGCUUUCUCUUAUUUCAGUUCAAGUGUGUCUUUUGUUAGAGCCAUUACUGUAGAUUGGGUUUACAAACCACUGGGCACACAGAAACUUUCACUCUGUAGCAGGAACAAAUUCCGCCAUGACUUACGCAUGGGGCCAGAAAGCCAUCUCCGGGGCUUGAGCGCUGCUCUCUCCUUAACGUCCAUCAGCUCCUCAGGCACUCGACAACCAUGCCUCUGAGUUCAGCCAACACACAGCUUCCAGUUGCAUCUCCUGAGGCUC